GGUUUGAUUAUGGCUCAGAUUGAACGCUGGCGGGAUGCUUUGCACAUGCAAGUCGAACGGCAGCACGGACUUCGGUCUGACGAGUGUGACAGGUGAGUAAUGUAUCGGAACGUGCUAGUAGCGGAUAACUACGCGAAAGCGUAGCUAAUACCGCAUACGCCCUUCGGGGAAAGCGAGACCUUCGGGCCUCGCACUAUUAGAGCGGCCGAUAUCGGAUUAGCUAGUUGGUGGGGUAACGGCUCGCAAGGCGACGAUCCGUAGCUGGUUUGAGAGGACGACCAGCCACACUGGGACUGAGACACAGGCUGGGCUCUACGGGAGGCAGCAGUGGGGUACACGGACCAAUGGAAGCCCUGAUCCAGCCACCCCGCGUGUGCGAUGAAGGCACCGGGUUGUAAAGCACUUUUUGGCAGAGGAAAGAAACGGCACGGGAUAAUACCCCGUGCAACUGACAGUACCAGCAGAAUAGAAGCCGCAAAGCUAGCAAAGCGCCAGCAGCCGCGGUAAUGUGCAUGGGUGCAGCGUUAAUCAAGAUUACUGGGCGUAAAGCGUGCGCAGGCGGGUUCCGGAAAGAAGAUGUGAAAUCCCAGAGCCUUUGGAACACUGCAUUUUUAACUACCGAGCUAGAGUGUGUCAGAGGGAGGUGGAAUUCCGCGUGUAGCAGUGAAAUGCGUAGAUAUGCGGAGGAACACCGAUAGCGAAGGCAGCCUCCUGGGAUAACACUGACGCUCAUGCGAAAGCGUGGGAGCAAACAGGAUUAGAUACCCUGGUAGUCCACGCCUAAACGAUGUCAACUAGCUGUUGGGGCCUUCGGGCCUUGGUAGCGCAACUAACGCGUGAGAUUGACCGCCUGGGGAGUACGGUCGCAAGAUUAAAACUCAAAGGAAUUGACGGGGACCCGCACAACGGUGGAUGAUGUGGAUUAAUUCGAUGCAACGCGAAAACCUUACCUACCCUUGACAUGUCUGGAAUCCCGAAGAGAUUUGGGAGUGCUCGCAAGAGAACCGGAACACAGGUGCUGCAUGGCUGUCGUCAGCUCGUGUCAUUAGAGAUGUUGGGUUAAGUCCGCAACGAGCGCAACCCUUGUCAUUAGUUGCUACGAAGGGCACUCUAAUGAGACUGCCGGUGACAAACCGGAGGAAGGUCGGAUGGACGUCAAGUCCUCAUGGCCCUUAUGGGUAGGGAGCUUCACACGUCAUACAAUGGUCGGGACAGGAGGUCGCCAACCCGCGAGGGGGGGAGCCAAUCCCAGAAACCCGAUCGUAGUCCGGAUCAUGAUCUGCAACUCGACUGCGUGAAGUCGAAUCGCUAGUAAUCGCGGAUCAGCAUGUCGCGGUGAAUACACGUUCCCGGGUCUUGUACACACCGCCCGUCACAUGGGAGUGGGUUUUACCAGAAGUAGUUAGCCUAACCGUAAGGAGGGCGAUUACCACGGUAGGAUUCAUGACUGGGGUGAAGUCGUAACAAGGUA
RNAcentral lists this ribosomal RNA (1471 nucleotides) under uncultured Bordetella sp. RNAcentral describes it as "partial 16S-23S ribosomal RNA intergenic spacer". It matches the Rfam family "Bacterial small subunit ribosomal RNA". The record is from RNAcentral. Lineage: Bacteria; Pseudomonadati; Pseudomonadota; Betaproteobacteria; Burkholderiales; Alcaligenaceae.